AAUGAACGCUGGCGGCAGGCCUAACACAUGCAAGUCGAGCGGAUGAACGGAGCUUGCUCCUGUAUUCAGCGGCGGACGGGCGAGUAAUGCCCAGGAAUCUGCCUGGUCGUGGGGGAUAACGUCCGGAAACGGGCGCUAAUACCGCACACGUUCAGAGGGUGAAAGUGGGGGAUCUUUGGACCUAACGCUAUCAGCUGAGCCUAGGUCGGAUUAGCUAGUUGGUGGGGUAAAGGCCUACCAAGACGACGAUCCGUAACUGGUCUGAGAGGAUGAUCAGUCACACUGGAACUGAGACACGGUCCAGACUCCUACGGGAGGCAGCAGUGGGGAAUCUUGCACAAUGGGCGAAAGCCUGAUCCAGCCAUGCCGCGUGAGUGAUGAAGGUCUUCGGAUUGUAAAGCACUUUAAGUUGGGAUGAAGAACAGUAUGAUUAUACCUUGCUGUUUUGACGUUACCAACAGAGUAAGCACCGGCUAACUUCGUG
Molecule: ribosomal RNA, 484 nt
Filed under: uncultured bacterium
Lineage: Bacteria
Description: partial 16S ribosomal RNA
Rfam family: Bacterial small subunit ribosomal RNA
Source: RNAcentral